GAAGGAACUAGGCAAAAUGGUGCCGUAACUUCGGGAGAAGGCACGCUGAUGGUAAUUGAAGUCCCGUGCGGAUGGAGGUGAAAUCAGUCGAAGAUACCAGCUGGCUGCAACUGUUUAAUAAAAACACAGCACUGUGCAAACACGAAAGUGGACGUAUACGGUGUGACGCCUGCCCGGUGCUGGAAGGUUAAUUGAUGGGGUUAUGCGUAAGCAGAAGCUCUUGAUCGAAGCCCCAGUAAACGGCGGCCGUAACUAUAACGGUCCUAAGGUAGCGAAAUUCCUUGUCGGGUAAGUUCCGACCUGCACGAAUGGCGUAAUGAUGGCCAGGCUGUCUCCACCCGAGACUCAGUGAAAUUGAAAUUGCCGUGAAGAUGCGGUGUACCCGUGGCAAGACGGAAAGACCCCGUGAACCUUUACUAUAGCUUGACAGUGAACAUUGAGCCUUAAUGUGUAGGAUAGGUGGGAGACUAAGAAGCAUGCACGCCAGUGUGUGUGGAGUCAACCUUGAAAU
RNAcentral lists this non-coding RNA (511 nucleotides) under Gilliamella apis SCGC AB-598-P17. RNAcentral's name for it is "bacterial LSU rRNA". It matches the Rfam family "Bacterial large subunit ribosomal RNA", at positions 1706 to 2198 of the family's 2925-position model. The record is from RNAcentral. Lineage: Bacteria; Pseudomonadati; Pseudomonadota; Gammaproteobacteria; Orbales; Orbaceae.